RNAcentral lists this ribosomal RNA (398 nucleotides) under Janiroidea sp. Its description in RNAcentral is "partial 16S ribosomal RNA". Lineage: Eukaryota; Metazoa; Arthropoda; Malacostraca; Isopoda. The record is from RNAcentral.
AUUUGUUUUUUAAUAGGAAACUGGGAUGAAAGAGUUGACAUCGCUUAAGCUAUUUUAACAAAUAGAUAAAAAUUGAUAUUCGCAUUAAAAAGUGCGACUUUUUAAAGGGACGAUAAGACCCUAUAAAACUUUACUUUUUCGAGUAUUUAUAUUUAGGAGUUUAGUUUUUUAAAAGAGUUGAGCUGGGGCGGCAUUUAAAAGUCUUUAAAAGCUAAAACAUUUAUUUUUGAAUUUAAGGAUCUUAUAAAGAUAUAGAACAAGUUACUUUAGGGAUAACAGCACAAUAUUCUCAGAUAGAUCUUAUAGAUGGGGAUGACUUGUGACCUCGAUGUUGAAUUUGAGGGGCCCGACCCAAGCAAGCAUGGGUUUGGGGGGUCUGUUCGACCUUUAAUUCCUCA